Molecule: ribosomal RNA, 253 nt
Filed under: uncultured bacterium
Lineage: Bacteria
Also listed under: 1 other name
Description: partial 16S ribosomal RNA
Rfam family: Bacterial small subunit ribosomal RNA
Source: RNAcentral
UACGUAGGGUGCGAGCGUUAAUCGGAAUUACUGGGCGUAAAGGGUGCGCAGGCGGUUCUGUAAGUCAGAUGUGAAAUCCCCGGGCUUAACCUGGGAACUGCGUUUGAAACUACAGGACUAGAGUGUGGCAGAGGGAGGUGGAAUUCCAUGUGUAGCAGUGAAAUGCGUAGAGAUAUGGAAGAACAUCGAUGGCGAAGGCAACCUCCUGGGUUAACACUGACGCUCAUGCACGAAAGCGUGGGGAGCAAACAGG